ACUUGAAUAGCUUAUGUAGAGCAUAACAUUGAAGAUGUUGUUGAGGUUAAAUUUGUACCUUCAGGUG
This 67-nucleotide transfer RNA is filed under the name Tauritermes triceromegas. RNAcentral's name for it is "tRNA-Phe". The record is from RNAcentral. Lineage: Eukaryota; Metazoa; Arthropoda; Insecta; Blattodea; Kalotermitidae. RNAcentral also lists the same sequence under 1 other name.